GACGAACACUGGCGGCGUGCUUAACACAUGCAAGUCGAGCGGAGCGGCGAACGGGUGAGUAACGCGUGAGUAACUGCCCCCCUCUCUGGGAUAACAGUUGGAAACGGCUGCUAAUACCGGAUAGUGGGGGAUGACUCGCGCCCUAUCAGCUUGUUGGUGGGGUAGGGGCCUACCAAGGCGACGACGGGUAGCCGGCCUGAGAGGGCGACCGGCCACAUAGGGCUGAGAUCGGGGCCAAACGCGUACGGGAGGCAGCAGUGGGGAAUAUUGCACAAUGGGGGAAACCCUGAUGCAGCAGCGCCGCGUGCGGGAUGACGGCCUUCGGGUUGUAACCCGCUUUCAGCCAUGACGCGGUAGUGGCAGAAGAAGCACCGGCUAACUACGUGCCAGCAGCCGCGGUAAUAC
This 405-nucleotide ribosomal RNA is filed under the name uncultured bacterium. RNAcentral describes it as "partial 16S ribosomal RNA". It matches the Rfam family "Bacterial small subunit ribosomal RNA", at positions 28 to 526 of the family's 1533-position model. The record is from RNAcentral.